AUACGGAGGGUGCAAGCGUUGUUCGGAAUUACUGGGCGUAAAGCGCGCGUAGGCGGUCUGUUAUGUCAGAUGUGAAAGUCCUCGGCUCAACCGGGGAAGUGCAUUUGAAACUGGCAGACUUGAGUACUGGAGGGGGUGGUGGAAUUCCUGGUGUAGAGGUGAAAUUCGUAGAUAUCGGGAGGAAUACCGGUGGCGAAGGCGACCACCUGGCCAGAUACUGACGCUGAGGUGCGAAAGCGUGGGGAGCAAACAGGAUUAGAUACCCCAGUAGUCC
RNAcentral lists this ribosomal RNA (274 nucleotides) under uncultured bacterium. RNAcentral's name for it is "partial 16S ribosomal RNA". It matches the Rfam family "Bacterial small subunit ribosomal RNA", at positions 523 to 796 of the family's 1533-position model. The record is from RNAcentral.